RNAcentral lists this ribosomal RNA (253 nucleotides) under uncultured bacterium. RNAcentral describes it as "partial 16S ribosomal RNA". It matches the Rfam family "Bacterial small subunit ribosomal RNA", at positions 524 to 776 of the family's 1533-position model. The record is from RNAcentral.
UACAGAGGGGGCAAGCGUUGCUCGGAAUUACUGAGCGUAAAGGGCGCGUAGGCGGAAUGGCAAGUCGGUCGUGAAAUCCUUCGGCUCAACCGAAGAACGUCGAUCGAAACUGCCGUUCUUGAGGAUUGCAGAGGAGACUGGAAUUCCCGGUGUAGCGGUGAAAUGUGUAGAGAUCGGGAGGAGCACCGGUGGCGAAGGCGGCCCACUGGUCCGGUACUGACGCUGAGGUGCGAAAGCGUGGGGAGCAAACAGG